CGUAGCGCAGAGGUUAGCAAGUCAGCCUAUCACGCUGAACGUCUGGGUUCGAAUCCCGGCG
This is a non-coding RNA of Stomoxys calcitrans (stable fly), 61 nucleotides long. NCBI's taxonomy places the organism in Eukaryota, Metazoa, Arthropoda, Insecta, Diptera, Muscidae. The record is from Rfam.